This 497-nucleotide ribosomal RNA is filed under the name uncultured bacterium. RNAcentral describes it as "partial 16S ribosomal RNA". It matches the Rfam family "Bacterial small subunit ribosomal RNA", at positions 28 to 507 of the family's 1533-position model. The record is from RNAcentral.
GAUGAACGCUGGCGGCGUGCCUAAUACAUGCAAGUCGAGCGAACAGACGAGGAGCUUGCUCCUCUGACGUUAGCGGCGGACGGGUGAGUAACACGUGGAUAACCUACCUAUAAGACUGGGAUAACUUCGGGAAACCGGAGCUAAUACCGGAUAAUAUAUUGAACCGCAUGGUUCAAUAGUGAAAGACGGUUUUGCUGUCACUUAUAGAUGGAUCCGCGCCGCAUUAGCUAGUUGGUAAGGUAACGGCUUACCAAGGCGACGAUGCGUAGCCGACCUGAGAGGGGGAUCGGCCACACUGGAACUGAGACACGGUCCAGACUCCUAAGGGAGGCCACAGUAGGGAAUCUUCCGCAAUGGGCGAAAGCCUGACGGAGCAACGCCGCGUGAGUGAUGAAGGUCUUCGGAUCGUAAAACUCUGUUAUUAGGGAAGAACAAAUGUGUAAGUAACUAUGCACGUCUUGACGGUACCUAAUCAGAAAGCCACGGCUAACUACGUG